GCCAAAAAUCUAGCUAUUUAAUUCACACUCGUCAAAAUACCAAAUAAAAUAUUCUAUAAACAUAGUAAAGAAGAUUAAAAAAUUAUUAUAAGCUAUAACUACGUACCGCAAGGGAAAGAUGAAAUAAAAAUGAGACAAUAAAGCACAAAAAAGUAGAGACUCCCCCUCGUACCUUUUGCAUCAUGAUUUAGCAAGUCCAACUAGGCAAAAAACCUUUAAGUCUAACCCCCCGAAACUAGGUGAGCUAUUUUAAAGUCGCUUACUGAGCUAACCCAACUGUGUUGCAAAAUAGUGGGAUAACUUUAAAAUAGAGGUGAAACGCCUAUCGAACUUAGUUAUAGCUGGUCUCUCAGGAAAAGAGUCUUAGCUCCGCCCAAAGACUAAUAUAAAUACAUUUAAAUUAACAGCAAUCUUUGGAGUAAGUUAAAUAAGGUACAGCCUAUUUAACACAGGGUUCAACCUUAACCUAAGGGUAAAACUCCCAUAGCCAUAAAGUA
RNAcentral lists this ribosomal RNA (497 nucleotides) under Ischnocnema cf. vinhai CC-2012. RNAcentral describes it as "partial 16S ribosomal RNA". The stretch from base 151 to 497 matches the Rfam family "Bacterial large subunit ribosomal RNA", at positions 568 to 1065 of the family's 2925-position model. The record is from RNAcentral. Lineage: Eukaryota; Metazoa; Chordata; Amphibia; Anura; Brachycephalidae.